RNAcentral lists this ribosomal RNA (461 nucleotides) under uncultured bacterium. RNAcentral describes it as "partial 16S ribosomal RNA". It matches the Rfam family "Bacterial small subunit ribosomal RNA", at positions 338 to 795 of the family's 1533-position model. The record is from RNAcentral.
CCUACGGGCGGCAGCAGUGAGGAAUAUUGGUCAAUGGGCGAGAGCCUGAACCAGCCAAGUCGCGUGAAGGAUGACGGCCCUACGGGUUGUAAACUUCUUUUGUCAGGGAGCAAUUGGGUCCACGCGUGGGCUUAGCGAGAGUACCUGAAGAAAAAGCAUCGGCUAACUCCGUGCCAGCAGCCGCGGUAAUACGUAGGGAGCAAGCGUUGUCCGGAUUUACUGGGUGUAAAGGGUGCGUAGGCGGCUUUGCAAGUCAGAAGUGAAAUCCAUGGGCUUAACCCAUGAACUGCUUUUGAAACUGCAGAGCUUGAGUGGAGUAGAGGUAGGCGGAAUUCCCGGUGUAGCGGUGAAAUGCGUAGAGAUCGGGAGGAACACCAGUGGCGAAGGCGGCCUACUGGGCUCUAACUGACGCUGAGGCACGAAAGCGUGGGUAGCAAACAGGAUUAGAUACCCGGGUAGUC